This 1080-nucleotide ribosomal RNA is filed under the name Leucosolenida sp. 21 JV-2020. RNAcentral describes it as "partial large subunit ribosomal RNA". It matches the Rfam family "Eukaryotic large subunit ribosomal RNA", at positions 47 to 917 of the family's 3401-position model. Lineage: Eukaryota; Metazoa; Porifera; Calcarea; Leucosolenida. The record is from RNAcentral.
UAAGCGGAGGAAAAGAAACUACAAGGAUUCCCCUAGUAACGGCGAGUGAAGCGGGAAGAGCUCAAGCUUGAAAUCUGGGGCGCUUGCGUCCACAGAAUUGUAGUUGAGAGAAGUGCUUUCACCGGGACGAGCGAUGGCCUAAGUUGCUUGGAACAGCACGUCAUAGAGGGUGAGAAUCCCGUCUGUGGUUGGUCGGUCCCUCGGAACGAUGCACUUUCGAAGAGUCGGGUUGUUUGGGAAUGCAGCCCAAAAUGGGUGGUAAACUCCAUCUAAAGCUAAAUAUUGCCACGAGACCGAUAGCGAACAAGUACCGUGAGGGAAAGAUGAAAAGCACUUUGAAAAGAGAGUUAAAAGCACGUGAAACCGUUGAAAGGGAAACGCGCUCGGCUAGCAAUGCGCGUCUGUGGUUCAGCCGGCUAGUCUUGUCGAGCUGUCGUUGUGUGGAUCCGAAUGGACUACCUGCGGUGGCGGCGGUGGGCGAGCUAUGGUGCACUCCACGGGCGUGCGCGUCAGCGUCGGUUCUCGACGGACGACAAGGUGCGUGGAAAAGGUAGCUCGGUCUUCGGACUGAGUGUUACAGAUCCGUGUGCUGGGUUCGUCGUGGGACCGAGGAGAGAGAUGAUCGCUGCGGCACCUGCCUCUCGGGGCUAGCCAGCUGUUGCCAGGUGUGCGCCAGAUGCUGAGGACUGCACGCAGUGCUCGGUGUUGAGGUGUGAUCUGGUGGUGGUGUGGGUAUAGAGGUGCCUAGGACGCUGGCGUCCAAAUGGCCGUGCGCGACCCGUCUUGAAACACGGACCAAGGAGUCUAACAUGUGCGCGAGUCUUAGGGUGUGCAAGCCCUCGGGCGCAAUGAAAGUGAAGGUUCGGCGCUAGUCGAGCUGAGGUGAGAGCCGCUGCUGGCCUGUUGCCACGGUGGCGCAUCAUCGGCCGGUCCAUCCUGCUCUCAGGGGGAUCCGAGCAAGAGCGUAUUUGUUGGGACCCGAAAGAUGGUGAACUAUGCCUGAAUAGGGUGAAGCCAGAGGAAACUCUGGUGGAGGCUCGUAGCGAUUCUGACGUGCAAAUCGAUCGUCAAAUUUGGGUA